Molecule: transfer RNA, 66 nt
Filed under: Hospitalitermes hospitalis
Lineage: Eukaryota; Metazoa; Arthropoda; Insecta; Blattodea; Termitidae
Description: tRNA-Ala
Source: RNAcentral
GGAACUAUAGUUAAUAAUAACAUUUGAGUUGCAUUCAAAAAGUACUACUUUAAGUAGUUAGUUUCA